AAUGCCCUUGUUACCUUGCUCCAAUGUAAAGGCUUCAAGGAAGACCUUCGAGGUGCCAUAGCUGUAGCUCGAGUAAGUCCACGACCUUUUGGAGGUGGAGGUGCUGAAGCAGUAGGUCCUUUAGCACCUAAAGGUGGUGGCGGAGGUGGUGCACCACCCGGUGGUCUAGGUGGAGCACGAGCUCCUGGUGGUGGAGGCGGAGCUGGAGCUCCACGCAGUGGAGGAGGUGGGGGAGGUGGCCCCCCACCAGCAGGAGGAGGUGGAGGUGGUGGGGGAGGUGGGCCUCCACCAGCAGGAGGAGGUGGAGGUGGUGGGGCUCCACGCAUUGGAGGAGGUGGCGGUGGUGGUGCCCCACGCUCUGGAGGAGGUGGCGGAGGAGGGGCACCGUGUGUUGGUGGAGGUGGUGGUGGAGGCGGUAUUCCAUGAAUUAAGGGAGGCGGUGGAGUUGGAGCUCGUGUUGAUGCACCGGUAAAAGGCGGUGGUUGGGAAGGGGGCGAAGGAAUUGACAAUUUAGCUGGAGCAACCACAACAUUCCCAGAAUUCCAAGGGGGAGGCGGUGGCGGAGGUGGUAAAACAAUCCCACUAUUCUGUCGACUAGAUGAAGAGGGAAUUGGAGGGGGAGGAGGUGGGGGUGGUGGCGGUCCACGGUUCAAGACAGACUCAUUGUUCGACUCGCCAAAUGAGGUGAAAGGUGGAGCUGGAGAUGGAGAAGGAAGUGGUGUUGAUUUCAGUAGAGGGAGAGGAGGUGGUGGUGGCGGAGGAGUUCUAGGCGGUGUAUCUCCUUGUGAAAAUAAGGAAACUGAGGAAGAGGACUUGGGUGGAAAAGCAUAAAAUAAAGAAUUAUUAAAAUGAGGCGGGGGUGGAGGCGGGGGUGGGGGAGGAGGAGGUGCAGGAGAAGAGGGUUCUACUUGCUGUUGGACAAUAGAUGGUGAUAAAGGAGUUGGAGAGGAACCUGGAACCUGUGAAUGGUUUAUU
This 975-nucleotide long non-coding RNA is filed under the name Citrus sinensis (sweet orange). RNAcentral's name for it is "long non-coding RNA (CSIN_LNC005358)". Lineage: Eukaryota; Viridiplantae; Streptophyta; Magnoliopsida; Sapindales; Rutaceae. The record is from RNAcentral.